UGUCAACACUCAUGCCAGGAUUAUACAGACACUGGGACAACCUCCUCCCACAACCAGCCUCCUUCCUUGAGGUGACCUAGGGGAAAUGAAGGCAUUCGUGACAAUACUUUCCAUCACACCAGAAGAGAUGAGAGUUUAAACACCAUUAGACUGAGAAGAGAAACUCGGGGGGCUUUUAACUUCAGUCCAACCAGGGAACCACACUGUGGUAGAAAUAGAACUUGCUUCAAACUUCCUGGCUUUGAAUCCCAGUUCUGCACCUGACUUGUGAGUCAGCACUGACAAUGUAAUGAUUUCAGCCUGUUUUGGCCGAAGACUCCAAAACAGUAAGUGCCCAUCACUCCCACAUACCGAAGUGAAAUACUAGACUGCCUAUGCAGGAUUUGAGAACGGAAGAUUGAGAGACAAAAGCACUUAGGAAAGAAAAGAAAUUUACUCUCAAAAGAGCUCAAGGGAGUUAAACUUCAGACAGCUUGGCUUACAAAUAAAUAAAUAAGUAAAUAAAUAAAUAAAUAAAUACAUAAAUAAGUCUAUGAUAGCUAUUUAAAGGGAAAAUCCCUUAACAUUAGCAAGGUUAGCUAGUUUACAUUAGCCUGUUCUGGUGGAUUUUCUCAUAUGUUUAUCAUAUCCUCAAAAGUCAUGACAUAUGGUCAGAUAUCGGUACUACAAAAGCCAGGAUAAAGGUUUUUGUUAGAGUCAGGUAAGAAUCAAAUAACACCCCCAACCCCAUCAGGAAAGGAAGGAGUUACAGAGGCCGGAGACCUAGCUUUACUGGAGAAGCUAAAGGCUUGCUAAUUUCGGACACAAGAAGCAGAAAUGGUGAGUUUAUUAUUUGUGGUUUAUCUCCCAGUGCAACUUGGUUUUAUUUUGUUUUCCUCCCUGGUUGUGAAAAAUGGUGUUCAGAUUAUUCAUGUUAAAUAAAAAUUAUAGGAGGCCACUGUUUUGGACUAAGCUCUUGCACCAGGCCCCAACAGAUCAGACUAAAAACCAAAAUGGAGUCACCCAUGCUAAAGUCCCACAUCACCAAGGUGAAACCGAGUUGUCAUCUGGCCUUCCAAGAAAUCAGGAGAGAAAGAUAAUAGCCAAAUUGCUGAGCCAAAGUGGACCACAGCAGUGUUGCUCCCACUGUAGGUCCUUGGCUGGGGAAAGGGAGAUGCUUUAUGAUUAAAGUUUAGGGAUUUUUUUGGUUUUGCAUAGCAUUGGACAUAUUAAUUAUUGAUGUGAGACUAUUCUGAGGAUGAAAGUAACUGGGAACUUUUUUUUUUUUUGAGACG
RNAcentral lists this long non-coding RNA (1274 nucleotides) under Homo sapiens (human). RNAcentral describes it as "HSALNT0221147". Lineage: Eukaryota; Metazoa; Chordata; Mammalia; Primates; Hominidae. The record is from RNAcentral.